Molecule: ribosomal RNA, 639 nt
Filed under: uncultured Actinomycetes bacterium
Lineage: Bacteria; Bacillati; Actinomycetota; Actinomycetes
Description: bacterial SSU rRNA
Rfam family: Bacterial small subunit ribosomal RNA
Source: RNAcentral
CGCGGCCUAUCAGCUUGUUGGCGAGGUAACGGCUCACCAAGGCAUCGUCGGGUAGCUGGUCUGAGAGGACGAUCAGCCACACUGGGACUGAGACACGGCCCAGACUCCUGCGGGAGGCAGCAGUGGGGAAUCUUGCGCAAUGGGCGAAAGCCUGACGCAGCAACGCCGCGUGGGGGAUGACAGCUCUCGGGUUGUAAACCCCUUUCAUCAGGGAAGAAAUUGACGGUACCUGAAGAAGAAGCCCCGGCCAACUACGUGCCAGCAGCCGCGGUGACACGUAGGGGGCGAGCGUUGUCCGGAAUUAUUGGGCGUAAAGAGCUCGUAGGCGGUUUAGUAAGUCAGAUGUGAAAGGUUGGGGCUCAACCCCAAGACUGCAUCCGAUACUGCUAUGACUAGAGUCCGGUAGAGGAGUGUGGAAUUCCUGGUGUAGCGGUGAAAUGCGCAGAUAUCAGGAGGAACACCGACGGCGAAGGCAGCACUCUGGGCCGGUACUGACGCUCAGGAGCGAAAGCGUGGGUAGCAAACAGGAUUAGAUACCCUGGUAGUCCACGCCGUAAACGUUGGGCACUAGGUGUGGGGCCUUAUCAACGGGUUCCGUGCCGUAGCUAACGCAUUAAGUGCCCCGCCUGGGGAGUACGG